This 860-nucleotide ribosomal RNA is filed under the name uncultured bacterium. Its description in RNAcentral is "bacterial SSU rRNA". It matches the Rfam family "Bacterial small subunit ribosomal RNA", at positions 9 to 895 of the family's 1533-position model. The record is from RNAcentral.
GAGUUUGAUCAUGGCUCAGGAUGAACGCUGGCGGCGUGCUUAACACAUGCAAGUCGAACGGACCAUAUUCGUAUGGUUAGUGGCAGACGGGUGCGUAACACGUGGGUGACCUGCCCUCAAGUGGGGAACAACUCCGCUAACGCGGAGCUAAUACCGCAUAUGUUCGCUUUUUCAGUAAGGCGAGUAAAGCAGUAAUGCGCUUGGGGAUGGGCCUGCGGCGGAUUAGCUAGUUGGUGGGGUAACGGCCUACCAAGGCGAUGAUCCGUAGGGGGCGUGAGAGCGUGGCCCCCCACACUGGCACUGAGACACGGGCCAGACUCCUACGGGAGGCAGCAGUGAGGAAUAUUGCACAAUGGGCGCAAGCCUGAUGCAGCAACGCCGCGUGAGGGACGAAGGCCUUCGGGUCGUAAACCUCUUUUCUGGGGGACGAGUAAGGACGGUACCUCAGGAAUAAGUCUCGGCUAACUACGUGCCAGCAGCCGCGGUAAAACGUAGGAGGCGAGCGUUAUCCGGAUUUACUGGGCGUAAAGCGUACGCAGGUGGCUUCGUGAGUCGGACAUGAAAGCUCCCGGCUUAACUGGGAGAGGUUGUUCGAUACUGCGGGGCUUGAGGUUGGGAGAGGGACGUGGAAUUCCCGGUGUAGUGGUGGAAUGCGUAGAUAUCGGGAGGAACACCAGUGGCGCAAGCGGCGUCCUGGCCCACACCUGACGCUGAGGUACGAAAGCGUGGGUAGCAAACAGGAUUAGAUACCCUGGUAGUCCACGCUGUAAACGAUGUCAACUGGGUGUCGGUAGUUUUACACUAUCGGUGCCGAAGCUAACGCGUUAAGUUGACCGCCUGGGGACUACGGCCGCAAGGCU